UCACUUUCAACAACGGAUCUCUUGGCUCUUGCACCGAUGAAGAACGUAGCGAAGUGCGAUAAGUAAUGUGAAUUGCAGAAUUCCGUGAAUCUUUGAACGCAUAUUGCACUCUCCGGUUUUCCAGGAGUAUGCCUGUUUGAGGGUUA
Molecule: ribosomal RNA, 146 nt
Filed under: uncultured Glomeraceae
Lineage: Eukaryota; Fungi; Glomeromycota; Glomeromycetes; Glomerales; Glomeraceae
Description: 5.8S ribosomal RNA
Rfam family: 5.8S ribosomal RNA
About the family: 5.8S ribosomal RNA (5.8S rRNA) is a component of the large subunit of the eukaryotic ribosome. It is transcribed by RNA polymerase I as part of the 45S precursor that also contains 18S and 28S rRNA.
Source: RNAcentral